RNAcentral lists this non-coding RNA (30 nucleotides) under Mus musculus (house mouse). Lineage: Eukaryota; Metazoa; Chordata; Mammalia; Rodentia; Muridae. The record is from RNAcentral.
UCCUGCGUGCUCUGGGAAGAUGUCCCUGGU